Molecule: ribosomal RNA, 119 nt
Filed under: Diaphorina citri (Asian citrus psyllid)
Lineage: Eukaryota; Metazoa; Arthropoda; Insecta; Hemiptera; Psyllidae
Source: RNAcentral
UUAAGAGGCGAUAGCACGUUGAGUGAGCCAGUUCCUAACAGAUCCCUGAAUUUAAGCAACGUGACGCCUGGUUGGUAUCUGGAUAGGCGACCGUCUAAAAUUCUUAGUUAUCGCUGGCU